This 478-nucleotide ribosomal RNA is filed under the name uncultured bacterium. RNAcentral's name for it is "partial 16S ribosomal RNA". It matches the Rfam family "Bacterial small subunit ribosomal RNA", at positions 29 to 523 of the family's 1533-position model. The record is from RNAcentral.
AACAAACGCUGGCGGCGUGCCUAAUACAUGCAAGUCGAACGGGGAAAGUAGCAAUAUGAGUACUAGUGGCGCACGGGUGAGUAAUGCAUGGGUAAUCUGCCCUCAAGCUGGGGAUAACCGGUCGAAAGACUGGCUAAUACCGAAUGAGACCACAAGGACUGAGGUUCUAGGGGUUAAAGGUUUUUCGCUUGAGGAUGAGCCCAUGUGGGAUUAGCUAGUUGGUGAGGUAAUGGCUCACCAAGGCGACGAUCCCUAACUGGUCUUAGAGGAUGAUCAGUCACACUGGAACUGAGACACGGCCCAGACUCCUAUGGGAGGCAGCAGUAGGGAAUAUUGCGCAAUGGGGGAAACCCUGACGCAGCGACGCCGCGUGAGUGAUGAAGGCCUUCGGGUCGUAAAGCUCUGUCGUAUGGGACUAACAAAAUGAAGGUACCAUGCAAGAAAGGAUCGGCUAACUUCGUGCCAGCCGCCGCGGUAA